AGAGUUUGAUCCUGGCUCAGAACGUACGCUGGCGGCACGCCUAACACAUGCAAGUCGAACGAAGUAGCAAUACUUAGUGGCAGACGGGUGAGUAACAUGUAGGUAUCUGCCCUUUGGCCUGGAAUAACACGAGGAAACUUGUGCUAAUACCGGAUAAGUCUUUACGGAGAACGCUUUAUGCACCAUUGGAUGAGCCUGCACUUGAUUAGUUUGUUGGUGGGGUAAUGGCCUACCAAGACUGUGAUCAAUAGCUGAUUUGAGAGGAUGAUCAGCCACAUUGGGACUGAGACACGGCCCAAACUCCUACGGGAGGCAGCAGUGGGGAAUCUUGCACAAUGGAGGAAACUCUGACGCAGCGAUGCCGCGUGAGUGAAGAAGGCCCUUGGGUUGUAAAGCUCUUUCGUCGGGGAAGAAAAUGACUGUACCCGAAUAAGAAGGUCCGGCUAACUUCGUGCCAGCAGCCGCGGUAAUACGAAGGGACCUAGCGUAGUUCGGAAUUACUGGGCUUAAAGAGUUCGUAGGUGGUUGAAAAAGUUGGUGGUGAAAUCCCAGAGCUUAACUCUGGAACUGCCAUCAAAACUUUUCAGCUAGAGUAUGAUAGAGGAAAGCAGAAUUUCUAGUGUAGAGGUGAAAUUCGUAGAUAUUAGAAAGAAUACCAAUUGCGAAGGCAGCUUUCUGGAUCAUUACUGACACUGAGGAACGAAAGCAUGGGUAGCGAAGAGGAUUAGAUACCCUCGUAGUCCAUGCCGUAAACGAUGUGUGUUAGACGUUGGAAAUUUAUUUUCAGUGUCGCAGCGAAAGCGAUAAACACACCGCCUGGGGAGUACGACCGCAAGGUUAAAACUCAAAUGAAUUGACGGGGACCCGCACAAGUAGUGGAGCAUGUGGUUUAAUUCGAAGAUACGCGCAGAACCUUACCAACACUUGACAUGUUCGUCGCGACUUUAAGAGAUUAAAGUUUUCGGUUCGGCCGGACGAAACACAGGUGCUGCAUGGCUGUCGUCAGCUCGUGUCGUGAGAUGUUGGGUUAAGUCCCGCAACGAGCGCAACCCUCACUUUUAGUUGCCAUCAUUAAGUUGGGCACUCUGAAAGAACUGCCAGUGAUAAGCUGGAGGAAGGUGGGGAUGACGUCAAGUCCUCAUGGCCCUUACGUGUUGGGCUACACACGUGCCACAAUGGUAUCUACAACAGGAAGCAAGACGGCGACGUUAAGCAAAUCCUUAAAAGAUACCUCAGUUCGGAUUGCACUCUGCAACUCGAGUGCAUGAAGCUGGAAUUACUAGUAAUCGUGGAUCAGCGUGCCACGGUGAAUGCGUUCCCGGGUCUUGUACACACCGCCCGUCACACCAUGGGAGUUGGUUCUACCUUAAGGCAAGGUUUAAAACCCUUGACCACGGUAUAGUCAGCGACUGGGGUGAAGUCGUAACAAGGUAACC
RNAcentral lists this ribosomal RNA (1436 nucleotides) under uncultured bacterium. RNAcentral describes it as "bacterial SSU rRNA". It matches the Rfam family "Bacterial small subunit ribosomal RNA". The record is from RNAcentral.